This 350-nucleotide unclassified non-coding RNA is filed under the name soil metagenome. Its description in RNAcentral is "partial contains 5.8S ribosomal RNA, internal transcribed spacer 2, and large subunit ribosomal RNA". The stretch from base 1 to 120 matches the Rfam family "5.8S ribosomal RNA", at positions 35 to 154 of the family's 154-position model. The record is from RNAcentral.
GAUGAAGAACGUAGCGAACUGCGAUAAGUAAUGUGAAUUGCAGAAUUCAGUGAAUCAUCGAGUCUUUGAACGCACAUUGCGCCCCCUGGCAUUCCGGGGGGCAUACCUGUCCGAGCGUCAUUGCUGCCCUUCAAGCCCGGCUUGUGUGUUGGGUCGUCGUCCCCCCCGGGGGACGGGCCCGAAAGGCAGCGGCGGCACCGCGUCCGGUCCUCGAGCGUAUGGGGCUUUGUCACCCGCUCGAUUAGGGCCGGCCGGGCGCCAGCCGGCGUCUCCAACCUUCUAUUUUACCAGGUUGACCUCGGAUCAGGUAGGGAUACCCGCUGAACUUAAGCAUAUCAAUAAGCGGAGGA